RNAcentral lists this ribosomal RNA (429 nucleotides) under Bacteroidota bacterium. RNAcentral's name for it is "Bacteroidetes bacterium partial 16S ribosomal RNA". It matches the Rfam family "Bacterial small subunit ribosomal RNA", at positions 355 to 776 of the family's 1533-position model. Lineage: Bacteria; Pseudomonadati; Bacteroidota. The record is from RNAcentral.
UAGGGAAUCUUCCGCAAUGGACGCAAGUCUGACGGAGCAACGCCGCGUGAGUGAAGAAGGAUUUCGGUUCGUAAAACUCUGUUGUUAGAGAAGAACAGCGCAUAGAGUAACUGUUAUGCGUGUGACGGUAUCUAACCAGAAAGCCACGGCUAACUACGUGCCAGCAGCCGCGGUAAUACGUAGGUGGCAAGCGUUGUCCGGAUUUAUUGGGCGUAAAGCGAGCGCAGGCGGUCAAUUAAGUCUGAUGUGAAAGCCCCCGGCUCAACCGGGGAGGGUCAUUGGAAACUUGUUGACUUGAGUGCAGAAGAGGAGAGUGGAAUUCCAUGUGUAGCGGUGAAAUGCGUAGAUAUAUGGAGGAACACCAGUGGCGAAGGCGACUCUCUGGUCUGUAACUGACGAUGAGGCUCGAAAGCGUGGGGAGCGAACAGG